UAAGUAGGACAAAUGAUCGCGGCUGCAAGUGUCGAAAGACCGCAGGUGAGGAAAGUCCGGGCUUCACAGGGCAGAAUGCCGGAUAACGUCCGGUGGAGGCGACUCCAAGGAAAGUGCAACAGAAAUAUACCGCCGAUUCUGGCUUGACCAGAAUCUGGUAAGGGUGGAAGGGCAGUGUAAGAGACUACCGCCUUUCUGGUAACAGGAGGGGCAUAUGUAAACCCCAUUCGAAGCAAGACCGAACAAAAGCGUUGACGUGGCCCGCCAGCUUUAGGUAGGUCGCUUGAAAUGGCUGGCAACAGUCAUUCUAGAAAGAUGAUCAUUCGUGUCUGCAUUUGCAGACGGACAUAACCCGGCUUAUCGUCCUGCUUAUUUU
This 376-nucleotide RNase P RNA is filed under the name Roseburia inulinivorans. RNAcentral describes it as "RNase P RNA component class A". It matches the Rfam family "Bacterial RNase P class A". From Rfam's summary of the family: Ribonuclease P (RNase P) is a ubiquitous endoribonuclease, found in archaea, bacteria and eukarya as well as chloroplasts and mitochondria. Its best characterised activity is the generation of mature 5'-ends of tRNAs by cleaving the 5'-leader elements of precursor-tRNAs. Cellular RNase Ps are ribonucleoproteins. The record is from RNAcentral. RNAcentral also lists the same sequence under 5 other names. Lineage: Bacteria; Bacillati; Bacillota; Clostridia; Lachnospirales; Lachnospiraceae.